GACAGAGGUCCCGAGCGUUAGGCGGAAUCACUGGGCUUAAAGCGUGUGUAGGCGGAUGCCUAAGUACCUUGUGAAAUCCCACGGCUCAACCGUGGAACUGCUCGGUAUACUGCUUUUCUUGAGCCACUUAGGGGCUACCGGAACAAAUGGUGGAGCGGUGAAAUGCGUAGAUAUCAUUUGGAACGCCAAUGGUGAAAACAGGUAGCUGGGAGUGUGCUGACGCUGAGACACGAAAGCCAGGGGAGCGAACGGG
This 253-nucleotide ribosomal RNA is filed under the name uncultured bacterium. Its description in RNAcentral is "partial 16S ribosomal RNA". It matches the Rfam family "Bacterial small subunit ribosomal RNA", at positions 524 to 776 of the family's 1533-position model. The record is from RNAcentral.